RNAcentral lists this ribosomal RNA (1968 nucleotides) under Triticum aestivum (bread wheat). Its description in RNAcentral is "partial small subunit ribosomal RNA". Lineage: Eukaryota; Viridiplantae; Streptophyta; Magnoliopsida; Poales; Poaceae. The record is from RNAcentral.
AUGGUGAUGCCCACUGUUCUCAACUCCCUAACUUUUUUAUGUGUGCUUGCAGUUCUUGCUGCAGGUCGGGCUGAAGGGCGGCAUCAUGACUCUGAUUGUCCUUCUUUCUCGUGCGGCCCUCUUGGAAAUGUAUUGUCCCCAUUUCGUCAGGCAAGUGAUCCGCCUGGCUGCGGCUAUCGAUCUUACGAGCUGGUUUGCAGUGAUACCAAGGCUAUGAUUCACAUCGGUGAUGCAACAUACUAUGUGUCUGCCAUCAACUACAGUGGUUCUUCCUUCUGGGUCAUCGAUGCCAACAUGGAUUUACACAACAACUGCCCUCUACCUCGGUGGAAUCCUCCAUACCAACCCGACAACAUGGAAAUCGAAUUGAGCCCCCUUGUACAUAGUGGGGCUUGCUUUGUAAAAUGCUCUCAGGAAGUAAAGGGCACUGGUACGUACAUGCCUGUUGCUUGCCUAAGCACCAACGAUUCUUUUGUUUACGUGUUAACUGGCUAUGGGUCUACAUAUAUGGAGUACCUUGAACCUUCUUGUGGGUACUUGGCCCGGACUCCUCGACCCUGGGACGGUCUGGGGCUAGAAAAUGCAAGUUAUGCAGAUGUUGUAAAAUCCAUGAGGAUUGGAUUUGCUGUUCGGUUUCCUUAUCCUAGGGAGAGCAUCAAGCAAUGCCUAAUACAGACUUUUUGGCCCUUCUAUGAGGUACCAGUCUUGAGUAAAGAAGGCAUCAAGUUACGUAUUCUAUUCAGUCUUGUGGGUGAUUCAUUUUUCUCGCGGUGCGCACUAGUUGAUGUCAUUGGAUUUCCACCAUUUCGAGGUGUAGUCAUAAUAAUCGUCUUCUGGAUUUGGAAGUGGCUGGCUGUGUUGUGCAGGUUCGUGUUGGCGCCGCUUGUUGUGUUGAUUUUCCUAGCCUACAAGUACUGGAAAACAAGAAUAACAAUCGAUGCAGUCGAGAAGUUCCUCCGUAUGCAGCAAAUGCUCGGUCCGACGAGGUACGCCUACACCGACAUCACUGCAAUCACAAGCCAUUUCAGAGAUAAGCUGGGUCAGGGAGGCUAUGGCUCCGUGUUCAAGGGUGUGUUAUCACCAGGCAAUGUCCAUGUCGCGGUCAAGAUGCUGGAGCGUAGCUCAAACUGCGAUGGAGAGGAUUUCAUCAGUGAAGUUGCCACCAUUGGCAGGAUCCACCACGUCAAUGUGGUGCGUCUCAUGGGGUUCUGCUCGGAGGAGAUGAGGAGGGCUCUUGUCUAUGAGUACAUGGCUCGAGGUUCUCUUGACAAGUACAUCUUCUCAGCUAAAAGUUUCUCCUGGGACAAGCUCAUAGAGAUUGCUUUGGGCAUUGCCAGGGGGAUCGACUACCUUCAUCAAGGGUGUGAGAUGCAGAUUCUACAUUUUGACAUCAAGCCACACAACAUCCUGCUUGAUAGCAAUUUUGUCCCAAAACUUGCUGAUUUUGGUCUCGCCAAGCUGUACCCAAGAAACAACAGUUUCGUAUCAUUGAGCGUCCUGCGCGGAACAAUUGGGUACAUAGCUCCUGAGAUGAUAUCUAGGAGCUUUGGCGUCAUAUCGAGCAAGUCUGAUGUUUACAGCUUUGGGAUGCUGCUGCUGGAGAUGGCCAGUGGAAGAAGGAAUGCCGACCCAAAUGUGGCGAAUUCAAGCCAGUCUUACUACCCGUCAUGGGUGUAUGACAGACUAACUGAACAAGAGGGGCGUGAUAUAUCUCCCAUUGACAACAUGCAUGAGUUGGAGAAGAAGCUGUGCAUGGUCGGACUAUGGUGCAUCCAGAUGAAGUCCCAUGACCGUCCAACGAUGAGUGAGGUUAUAGACAUGUUGGAAGGCGGUGCCGAUACCUUGCAGAUGCCUUCCAGGCCAUUCUUCUGUGACGAGGGGCUCGUCCAUACCAAUGAUACUUAUCAUUUGUCCUCCGAGUUGACCGAAAUCUCUGAGGAGGAUAUGAGUGAAAAUAUCGAUGUGUGA